UCUUUAGGGGAUCGGCCUCCUUGGAACUCUAUAGGGGUUCCUCCCUCCAAGUUGCAGCUCAAAGGCUGCAGAAAAGAUUCAUCUAUUGCUUAUCAAAAGAGAAGGAAUACAUGCUAUUUAUAGGGCUUCUAAACCCUAACUCCUAAUAGGACUCCUACUUAAGACUCUUACUUCUAACCAACUCCUAGUAUGACUCAUAGUCAAGACUCCUAUUCCCUUACAACUCCUAAUUCUUCUCUAAGAAAACACCUCUUACAUGAAUGCCCCUCUCAAUUAGGACUCUCCUAGCUAGAGUCCUAACAGAAUG
RNAcentral lists this long non-coding RNA (307 nucleotides) under Musa acuminata (dwarf banana). RNAcentral describes it as "long non-coding RNA (MACU_LNC010133)". The record is from RNAcentral. Lineage: Eukaryota; Viridiplantae; Streptophyta; Magnoliopsida; Zingiberales; Musaceae.